AGAAGUAUGCAAUAAUAGCUUUUGGAGCGCUAUGGUAUUCCUCCCGAACAUCGGGAACUAAAGCUGUAGACAACCGUUCCAAGAGACGCUGCUUCU
RNAcentral lists this non-coding RNA (96 nucleotides) under unclassified sequences. RNAcentral's name for it is "DUF3800-V RNA". It matches the Rfam family "DUF3800-V RNA". The record is from Rfam by way of RNAcentral.